Molecule: ribosomal RNA, 1140 nt
Filed under: Triticum aestivum (bread wheat)
Lineage: Eukaryota; Viridiplantae; Streptophyta; Magnoliopsida; Poales; Poaceae
Description: partial small subunit ribosomal RNA
Source: RNAcentral
AGGCUCCGGCUCGGAAGUGCACCACCUGACUGGGUGCCUUGCCCGUCGAGGAUGAGCGCACUAGAAAUUUCAAUCCGGAAGUAUGUAGAGCAACCUGAUAAGAGCGUCGUUAAACCAGAGCCGGGACUUAGUUUCGAUUCGUUGGGAGAGGCAUAUGAUUUCUAUAACCUAUACUCGUGGGAAGUGGGUUUUGGGAUAAGAUAUGGAAAAAGAAGACUGAACGCUGAGAGGACUAAAAGUAUGCAGGAAAUAGUAUGUGGUUGCUCGGGAAAACCGGAGACUGGAAACAGUCGGUCGUGUAGAUGUGAGUGCCUAGCUCUGAUAAGGCUAUUGCGUGCAUCCGACAACAGCUGGUACAUCACAGAGCAUCGAGCAAGUCAUAACCAUUCCAUGUCGCUGACAAUGGGAGAAAAAGUGCGCUGGCCAUCUCAUAAGCAUAUAGAUGUUUACACCAAAGACUUGAUAAAGCAGCUGAGGGAAAACAAUGUUAAUCUGGGAAAAGUGUACAUCAUCAUUGGGAGCUUUUUUGGGUCUGUGGAAAAGGUCCCCUUCACGAGGAGGACACUCGGGAAUAUAUGUCGCAAGAUUAGCCAUGAACAGGCUGAAGACGACGUUCGGAAGACACUUCAGGCGUUUGCUGACAUCCGGGCAAAUGACCCCGGAUUCUCCUAUGUGGUGUUAGCCGAGAAAGACAGCAAAGUUAAGAACCUGAUAUGGGCUAACGGGAACAGCAGGAUGCAGUACAAAUUCUUUGGCGACAUUGUGACUUUUGACACCACCUAUAGGACAAACUUAUAUGAUAUGCCAUUUGGCCUAUUUGUCGGAGUCAACAACCACUACCAAAGUAUUAUCUUUGUGGGGGUGUUGAUGCGUGAUGAGCAGGAAGAUAGCUUUGAAUGGGUGUUCGAGGAAUUUGUACGUAUUAUGGGUGGACCUCCGCCAAAAACAAUACUUACAAGUCAGAGUGGUCAGCAAAACAGAAAAAGAAAGAUUCUGUUCAAUCUAUCUUCAUUAUCGAAGGACUUAUUUGAUUUUGGAAUGCUUCUUUUUCUUGUGCAGACCAAUGCAGGGCUAUGGAGAUUGCAAUCAAGAAGACAUAUCCAGACACGGUGCACCGUUGGUGCAAAUGGCACGUUCUGA